GAAGGAUCAUUGUUGUGAUACAUAUUUUUGGAUUUANAGAGAUAUUAAUAAAUCGUAUGCUUCGAAGACAUGCGUCGUGUUCAUGCUUUAUGCAUUGCAUUGGGGCGUGUUGACCAUAAGAAUCAGACACGGUAUGUGUCAAGGUAAAUUUUUUCGGAAUAAGAAUGAAUGAGACUUGACGCAGGAUGCUCGUUGUGCGGGACAUUGUUCCGUUCGAUCUCUACAUUUAUUGAAAUCGUGAUAUUUGAAGACUCUCGGCAAUGGAUAUCUUGGCUCUUGCAUCGAUGAAGGACGUAGCAAAAUGCGAUACAUGGUGUGAAUUGCACGAUCCCGGGAACCAUCGAGUCUUUGAACGCAAGUGGCGCCCGAGGCCGCAUGGCCAAGGGCACGUUUGCCUGGGUGUCACAAGAACACGUUGUCGCUCUAGUUUAUGUUGAUGUAGUAUGUCUAGAUGCGUUUGUUGUGGCCUUCCUCGCGCAUUGUAAUGAAUGUGGAUGGCCGAAGGAUUGUUUGCAUCGCUCGGUGUACGGACGGACGUCCAAUUGAUGCGGCCAUGUGGUGAAAGUGAGUACUUACUCCAGUCCGGGCUGCCGUGUCGGAAUGUUGUUCUUCUCGGGGUGAUGUGAAAGAACCUGCUUGGACAUGUAAUGGCAUGAAAUGCCUCGGUUGUGCGACCCCAGGUCAAGCGUGGCCACCCGCUGAACUUAAGCAUAUC
This 715-nucleotide ribosomal RNA is filed under the name Thismia huangii. RNAcentral describes it as "eukaryotic LSU rRNA". The stretch from base 250 to 405 matches the Rfam family "5.8S ribosomal RNA". The record is from RNAcentral. Lineage: Eukaryota; Viridiplantae; Streptophyta; Magnoliopsida; Dioscoreales; Thismiaceae.